GGGGAUAUAUCUCAGUUGGUAGAGCACUUGCCUUGCAUGCAUAAGGCCCUGGGUUCAGUCCCCAGCACCACCA
RNAcentral lists this transfer RNA (73 nucleotides) under Ictidomys tridecemlineatus (thirteen-lined ground squirrel). Its description in RNAcentral is "Spermophilus tridecemlineatus (thirteen-lined ground squirrel) tRNA". It matches the Rfam family "tRNA". Rfam says of the family: Transfer RNA (tRNA) molecules are approximately 80 nucleotides in length. The record is from Rfam by way of RNAcentral. Lineage: Eukaryota; Metazoa; Chordata; Mammalia; Rodentia; Sciuridae.